GUCGUGGGGCGUGCGAGUUACGGAGGGGGCUAGGGUAGAGAAGGUGGAGGUCUCGUGGCGGUGGAGGACGGUGCGGGGUGGGGCGGAGUGGCGCGUGGCGGCCGGCGGCGGCGCGCGGGGAGGCCGUGCGGAUGGGGAUGGGGUUCACGGGGGUGUGGGCGCCGGAAGGUGGCGGCCGCUGUCAGAUGGGACUGACACAGCGAGGGUUCGGUGGGCUGGGGUUUAGCGAGCCCACAGCCGCCGCGACCGUCGUGUUCGUCGACGGUACUUCGACGCGCGGUGGGGGAACGGGGGAAGUGGAGGAAGGAGGGUGAACGUGUGUACUCUUCCUUAACUUAGUCUCAGCCAGGGAGUUAGAUUUGGUCCUCCUCGCGGGUAACUUGUCCUACCACACGUCCAGCGCCUCUCAACGUAGCCGUUCACAGUCGAGUAUAGAACUUCACGGUACCUCGUUUCGAACACUCCUACGUCCCCGGCAACCACCACAACCUGAAUAGCGUCCAACUUGGUGUAGAACGAAAGGAAAAGAAAACGGUUAGACGAGAGAACAGAGAGCCUCAGUGUUUAACCAGUAGGUACGUAGAGAAGAAGAAUUAUCUAUAUAUUGUAACUAAACUAACCAUUAUGACUACCGUCUAACGACGUUAAAUAACUUAAACUAGAUUAAAUAAAACCCUAACAAUUUAAACACUAAAAAAUGUAUGUUAGAUACCUAUGGAGUACCUCUAGCCAGCUUCGUUUGAUAAGAGUAGUCGAAGUCAUUACACAGACUACGGUAAACCGGGUAUACCGUCCCAAUUGUAGUAGUUACCGGACGGGGUCAGCAGUCCUUGAUGGUUACAUAGAAGGAUAAACUAGGUUUUACGUAUGUGUGUACUAAUACUACCUCUAUGAUAGGCUUGAACGGUAGUUGUCCUAACUCGUUACACCGUAUAUUCGAAAUCGAACGACCAAGUCUAAUAGUCACAAUUAGAAGACCAACACCGUUAAAAAGUCUGAAAAACUCUCCCACAGUACACAGUCUACUCUCUCCGUUGACUACACCAAGAAAUAGUACAACGACGGUAGCGUUGGUGUACAAUUAAUUUCACGUCCAUGAGGUCAGUCAGCCCUCGAGAUAUUUACUCCUUUCGCCUUUCUCGGUACCGCACUACCGAUGUAUAAGUAGAUGGAACUGUUGGAAAUUCAUGGUUGUCAACUUAUUAGCAUCCAAAAUAAACCUCUUGUUUUUAUAUUCUAAAUUACGAUGGGUUAUAAACAUUAACUUUUUCUAUCUAACAUGCACGAAAUGUAAUAUAUCCACCAACGGAGUUAUACAAAG
Molecule: ribosomal RNA, 1321 nt
Filed under: Triticum aestivum (bread wheat)
Lineage: Eukaryota; Viridiplantae; Streptophyta; Magnoliopsida; Poales; Poaceae
Description: partial small subunit ribosomal RNA
Source: RNAcentral